AGAGUUUGAUCCUGGCUCAGAAUGAACGCUGGCGGCGUGGCUAAGACAUGCAAGUCGAACGGAUCAUAUGCUUGGGUAACCGAAAUUAUGAUUAGUGGCGAAAGGGUGCGGAAUGAAUAGGUAACGUACCCCACAGUUUGGGAUAGCGUCUAGGUGCUUGCACCUUUCCGAAAGGGGCGGUAAUACCAAAUAACAUCGUAUGACUCAAGUUGUACGAUCAAAGAUUUAUUGCUGUGGGAGCGGCCUAUUUCCUAUCAGUUAGUUGGUGAGGUAAUGGCUCACCAAGGCGACGACGGGUAGCGGGACUGAGAGGUUGACCCGCCACAUCGGGACUGAGACACUGCCCGGACCUCCACGGAGGGCUGCAGUAACGAAUAUUGCGCAAUGGACGAAAGUCUGACGCAGCAACGCCGCGUGUAGGAUGAAGCCCCUCGGGGUGUAAACUACUGUCAGGGGUUAGAAAGUCCUCGGAUUGAUCAGCCCCAGAGGAAGUCACGGCUAACUUCGUGCCAGCAGCCGCGGUAAGACGAAGGUGGCGAGCGUUAUUCGGAAUUACUGGGCUUAAAGCGCGCGUAGGCGGAGUGGAAAGUGUCUUGUGAAAGCCCCCGGCUCAACCGGGGAAUUGCUUGGCAAACUUCCAUUCUUGAGGCAAGUAGGGGUGUGUGGAACUCUUGGUGGAGCGGUGGAAUGCGUAGAUAUCAAGAGGAACGCCGAAGGUGAAGACAGCACACUGGGCUUGGCCUGACGCUGAGGUGCGAAAGCGUGGGGAGCGAACGGGAUUAGAUACCCCGGUAGUCCACGCCGUAAACGAUGUCUACUAGGUUGUGGGGGUUCUGACACCUUCACAGUCGAAGCAAAAGUGUUAAGUAGACCGCCUGGGGAGUACGGCCGCAAGGCUAAAACUCAAAGGAAUUGACGGGGGCUCACACAAGCGGUGGAGCAUGUGGAUUAAUUCGAAGCAACGCG
RNAcentral lists this ribosomal RNA (966 nucleotides) under invertebrate metagenome. RNAcentral describes it as "bacterial SSU rRNA". It matches the Rfam family "Bacterial small subunit ribosomal RNA", at positions 8 to 963 of the family's 1533-position model. The record is from RNAcentral.